This 253-nucleotide ribosomal RNA is filed under the name uncultured bacterium. RNAcentral describes it as "partial 16S ribosomal RNA". It matches the Rfam family "Bacterial small subunit ribosomal RNA", at positions 524 to 776 of the family's 1533-position model. The record is from RNAcentral.
UACAGAGGUCCCAAGCGUUGUUCGGAUUCACUGGGCGUAAAGGGUGCGUAGGUGGUCGGGUAAGUCUGAUGUGAAAUCUCCGAGCUUAACUCGGAAAUGGCAUUGGAUACUAUUCGGCUGGAGGUUUGGAGGGGGGACUGGAAUUCUCGGUGUAGCAGUGAAAUGCGUGGAUAUCGAGAGGAACACCAGUGGCGAAGGCGAGUCCCUGGACAACACCUGACACUGAGGCACGAAAGCUAGGGGAGCAAACAGG